Molecule: transfer RNA, 71 nt
Filed under: Marmota monax (woodchuck)
Lineage: Eukaryota; Metazoa; Chordata; Mammalia; Rodentia; Sciuridae
Description: tRNA.Ala
Source: RNAcentral
GGGGUUGUACCUCAGUGGUACAGUGCUCGCCUCGCAUGUGUGAGGCAUUGGGUUCAAUCCUCAGUACCUCA